GACGAACGCUGGCGGCGUGCUUAACACAUGCAAGUCGAACGGAAAGGCCCUGCUUUUGUGGGGUGCUCGAGUGGCGAACGGGUGAGUAACACGUGAGUAACCUGCCCUUGACUUUGGGAUAACUUCAGGAAACUGGGGCUAAUACCGGAUAGGAGCUCCUGCUGCAUGGUGGGGGUUGGAAAGGUUCGGCGGUUGGGGAUGGACUCGCGGCUUAUCAGCUUGUUGGUGGGGUAGUGGCUUACCAAGGCUUUGACGGGUAGCCGGCCUGAGAGGGUGACCGGCACCAUUGGGACUGAGAUACGGGCCAGAAUCGUACGGGAGGCAGCAGUGGGGAAUAUUGCACAGUGGGCGGAAGCCUGGUGCAGCAACGCCGCGUGCGGGAUGACGGUCUUCGGGUUGUAAACCGCUUUCGCCUGUGACGAAGCGUGAGUGACGGUAAUGGGUAAAGAAGCACCGGCUAACUACGUG
RNAcentral lists this ribosomal RNA (468 nucleotides) under uncultured bacterium. Its description in RNAcentral is "partial 16S ribosomal RNA". It matches the Rfam family "Bacterial small subunit ribosomal RNA", at positions 28 to 507 of the family's 1533-position model. The record is from RNAcentral.